UUAUGAAGGGUAUGAUCUUGGCUCAGAACGAACGCUGGCGGCGUGGAUUAGGCAUGCAAGUCGCACGAGGGAGCGUCCCGAAAGGGGCGCAAACCGAGUGGCGUAAGGGUGAGUAAUGCAUUGAUAACCUACCUUUGAGAUGGGAACAACAACGUUCCAAGUAAUUGGGGCUACCGAAAGGGUUGCUAAUUCUCAAUAAAAAUGCUGACACUUUGGUGUCGGCAGUCAAAGAAAUGGAUCUGAAAAGGUCCAUUUGCUCAGAGAGGGGUCAAUGUCCUAUCAGCUAGUUGGUAGGGUAAUGGCCUACCAAGGCGAAGACGGGUAGCCGGCCUGAGAGGGUGGUCGGCCACACUGGGACUGAGACACUGCCCAGACUCCUACGGGAGGCUGCAGUCGAGAAUCUUUCGCAAUGCCCGAAAGGGUGACGAAGCGACGCCGCGUGUGGGAUGAAGGCCUUCGGGUUGUAAACCACUGUCGGGAGUUAAGAAUUGUAGGAAUGCUAAUAGUAUUUCUACUUGACUAAGGCUCCGGAGGAAGCCACGGCUAACUCUGUGCCAGCAGCCGCGGUAAUACAGAGGCGGCAAGCGUUGUUCGGAAUUAUUGGGCGUAAAGAGCAUGUAGGCGGCUAUGUAAGUCGGUUGUGAAAGCCUUCCGCUUAACGGAAGAAUGGCGGUCGAAACUGCAUGGCUUGAGUGCGGGAGGGGAGAGUGGAACUUCUGGUGGAGCGGUGAAAUGCGUAGAUAUCAGAAGGAACGUCGGCGGCGAAAGCGACUCUCUAGACCGUAACUGACGCUGAGUGUGCGAAGUGCCCCGCCUGGGGAGUACGGCCGCAAGGCUAAAACUCAAAAGAAUUGACGGGGGCUCGCACAAGCGGUGGAGCAUGUGGCUUAAUUCGAUGCAACGCGAAGAACCUUACCGGGGCUUGACAUGAUAGAAGUAGGAACCCGAAAGGGCGACGAACGGUAUCCAGCCCGAAACUAUCACAGGUGUUGCAUGGCUGUCGUCAGCUCGUGUCGUGAGACGUUGGGUUAAGUCCCCUAACACUCUAAAGAGACUGCUGUCGUCAAGACGGAGGAAGGUGGGGAUGACGUCAAGUCAUCAUGGCCCUUAUGUCCCGGGCUGCACACGUGCUACAAUGGUUGGUACAAAGGGAUGCUAAACUGUAAAGCGGAGCGAAACCCAUAAAACCGAUCUCAGUUCAGAUUGGAGGCUGAAACCCGCCUCCAUGAAGUAGGAAUCGCUAGUAAUCGCGGAUCAGCUACGCCGCGGUGAAUAUGUUCCCGAGCCUUGUACACACCGCCCGUCAAGCCACCCAAGCAAGAUGCACCCAAAAUCGCUGGCCAAACCCGUAAGGGAUGGAAGUGCUUAAGGUGUGUUUUGUGAGGAGGACUAAGUCGUAACAAGGUAGUCGUAGGAGAACCUGCGGCUGGAUCACCUCCUUUCU
Molecule: ribosomal RNA, 1444 nt
Filed under: Candidatus Brocadia sp. AMX2
Lineage: Bacteria; Pseudomonadati; Planctomycetota; Candidatus Brocadiia; Candidatus Brocadiales; Candidatus Brocadiaceae
Description: bacterial SSU rRNA
Rfam family: Bacterial small subunit ribosomal RNA
Source: RNAcentral